This 485-nucleotide ribosomal RNA is filed under the name uncultured bacterium. RNAcentral describes it as "partial 16S ribosomal RNA". It matches the Rfam family "Bacterial small subunit ribosomal RNA", at positions 28 to 507 of the family's 1533-position model. The record is from RNAcentral.
GAUGAACGCUGGCGGCGUGCUUAACACAUGCAAGUCGAACGGGAUCCCAGGGGUGCUUGCCCUUUUUGGUGAGAGUGGCGAACGGGUGAGUAACACGUGAGUAACCUGUCCUUUUCUUUGGGAUAAGCAUUCGAAAGGGUGUUUAAUACCUUAUGUUCUGUCUGCCUCGCAUGGGGUGGGUGGGAAAGGCUUUGGCCGGAUUUGGGUGGGCUCGCGGUCUAUCAGCUUGUUGGUGGGGUGAUGGCUUACCAAGGCUUUGACGGGUAGCCGGCCUGAGAGGGUGGUCGGUCACAUUGGGACUGAGAUACGGCCCAGACUCCUGCGGGAGGCAGCAGUGGGGGAUAGUGCACAAUGGGCGAAAGCCUGAUGCAGCGACGCCGCGUGGGGGAUGAAGGCCUGCGGGUUGUAAACUUCUUUUGCUCUGAACAAGGCAUGCCAGUGGGUGUGUUGAGUGUAGGGGUUGAUUAGCGCCGGCUAACUACGUG